RNAcentral lists this long non-coding RNA (1002 nucleotides) under Gossypium barbadense (sea-island cotton). RNAcentral's name for it is "long non-coding RNA (GBAR_LNC008306)". Lineage: Eukaryota; Viridiplantae; Streptophyta; Magnoliopsida; Malvales; Malvaceae. The record is from RNAcentral.
UUCCAUUUAUUUCUCUUCCAAAACACAACCAAUCUUUUAGCCCUAAAUUACAGCCCUAAAAUCGACUUGAUAUGGCUCAUUCUAGCAAACGCCGAAUCACCAUUUCAUUCGGUGGCCGACAAUGCACGAGCAGCGACCAGAUUCCACCGACGAAGGCACCAUUCAAGGAAACCUGGUAUGCUAUUUUAUUUUUUCUUUCUUUUUUUUUUUAAAAAAAACCCUAGAUCUAAUACUGUUCAUUCAAGAAAGAUGAAGCCAAAUAUAAAAAACACUUAAUACCAUCCGACCCUCGUCCAUAUCUCAAUAUUUUUGAGAUAUUUGGGACUUCAUUGGUGUCGUUUCGAGUAUUUUGUAUGCAGAGGAUUGUAAGUAAUUCGAAAGAAAAAGAAAAAGAACAAGAAAUCACCUCUUUAAAAUUUCUUUCUAUUCAAUUGCUUUGUAUAUGUUGUUAUGUGAAUAAUAUGCAUGUAAAAAAAAAGGGAACUUUACAAUCAAAAUCCAUAGGGCUUUAUAAGUGAAUAAUCAUAAGAAAAGAUACAACAAUUUUUCUCUCUAUUGGCUGUUGCUCUGCUGCUGUUCUCUUGUUUUCUUUUGCAGGUACGGGGUACAGGGCGUGUGAUGGCACUUGGUGUGAGGCGUACGGAGGAGUGGGCGUGGCUGUGGCGCCAGGAGGCCGUACGAGGCUUGGAGGCUAGAGGUUACUGUUGCGGCGCAAGAGGGGGUGACCUAGGGUUUCUGAAACUGUUUUAGUUUUUGGGCCGUUUGGGCCUUGAAUUUUUGGACUGUAAUUGGACUUUUUAUUAUUAGGUUUUUUUUAAUUAUUUUUUAUUUUGGGCUUUGAUGUAGACUCGGGAAAAUUGGCCCGUUUACACAUAUUUUAGACUAGAAUGUCAUGUCAGACACAUAUCCUACCCCCAUCCGUUACACACGAACUCCAUCCAACCAAUCACACCAAUUAGGACUAAAAAGGUUCAUCCAUCCAAUCACACCGGGUCGUGGUGG